CAUUUAGUUUUGAUAUUCUAAAUUCUAGAAUUAUUUUAAAAGAUUUUUGCUAUUAAAUGAAUUUAUUUAUUAUAUGUUACAGUCAAAAUUUGGGAAAAUCAAGGAUAAAGUUUGAAAUGUUUAUUGAUUUUAGCAUUUAUUUUUAUUUCGAAAUAUAUAAAGUGACAAAUACUGUUUACGAACAAAGGAUGUGUUAACUGCUAAUGAAAUUGUGUGGUCUUGAGUUUCGUAACGAAAUGGUUCGAACGUAAAGUGAAGAUCAUAAAUAUUUCAAGUAUAGUAGAAUAUGUUUGGAAUACAAAUGCGUUUAAAGUUCGCCAAGAAAUGGAUGUGUAUGCACACAAGGAUACCAUAUGCGGCAAGUUUCUUUUGCUCCUUUAUCGAGGUUCGUCGUUGGAAGUCGAAGGAUAAGGGCAAAUAGAAUUUGGCCCUACGUUUCCGUUCCAUCGUAUUGUCAAGUGAAUUGACUUGGUUCGACGAGGCAUCCUCGAAGGUAUACUCGUUCCUGUAGGAGAGAUAAAUCCUUGGACGGCACACGGUAUUUCUACGACCAAUUUGAAAUGUUCGUGACCAGGCAGGAGGAGACGGUAAAGUCCCAUCCAACGGGGUCGAUGUACUUCCGGAACUUGGAAAAAAUGUUUGCGCGUCGCGGAGGUGAGAACCACUGGAUUCCAGCGGAUCGCGGUUAUUACGUUGUUACAAGGGUAGGCAAAAGCUUUGAGAUUCGUAGUUCUCUCUCACGGUUACGUACGAGAUGAUUUUCUCGAAUUCUAUUCGAAAACAGAUGUGAUAACUGUAACAAAGUAAAAUCAACUUUGCCAAUGAAUAGUCAUUGUCGAUUAGAUGAUGAUUUUGGUCUGUCUAUUGACAAGUCAUUAUAUGUGUAAAGAAUUGUAAAAGUAUGGAAUAUUGUUUUUGAGUUUAUUAGAAAAUUGUUUAUACAGUUUGAAUAUGUUACAAAUACAACCAUCUUCAUUAAUAAUGAUCGUCAUUGACAAUCAAAUGAGAGAAUAGAAAUUUUGAUCUUUUCUUCUACGAAUCACUGUAUACAAAAAAUUAUUAUGUGAUGUAAUUAAUUUCAAGAUCAGUAAAGAGAAAGUACCUUGUAUAUAGUUCAUUGCAAAUACAAUUGUCUCCAUUAAGAAUCAUUGUCCAUUAAUUGAUGAUAAAAUAUUUAUAUCGAAAAAAAAUCACUGUAAAGAAUUAUCGUCUUGAUAUUUAAGCAUUAUAGCAUUUCUUUCUAGAGAGGGAAAUAUUCUAAAGUUCAUAACAUUUCAAAACGUUAUUGUCAUUAAUCUAUCAGAAUAGUUUUUUUGACUUCAUUGAGAGUUAAAAAUAGAUUUAAAUGCCAUCAAAAAUUUUCUUUGAGGAAAGAAUGAAAGAAAAAAUAGAUAAAGUAUAUACAUUAUAAUUAUUAAACUAAUCAUUAUGGCUGGUAAUGGCACAGCCAAGCGGAGAUGAAAGAAUAAAUACCAAGCAUUGUAUUCAGAAUCGUCUUUAAGAAAGAAUCACCUUGUACAUAGUGUGUACAUAACAUCUGAAAAAGUUGUACCUUUAGCUGGCGUCGAGUUAAUUAAGUUUGCACGUCUGCCUUUCGAGAUCGGAUACAGUGCACGAGUAUACCGCCGAUAGACUUCGAAAGGAUACAUGAAUUAUUUUGUACCAAUAAUCGUUUCCCGUUUUUCUUACGAGACUCGUGAGAAUCGACUUUACAAUCGGCAAAUAGAAUCAAUGAAUCGCACGAGUUUCGAGUGAGUCGAGAAAAUUUUAUUUUAUUUUAUUUCCAUUAGUAUGUUAAUGAUUCAGGUGAACGAUGAUUUGAAAUUUUUUUAAAUUUAAUCAAAUUAGUUUGAAAUUAAUUUUUUUCGCGUUAA
This 1874-nucleotide long non-coding RNA is filed under the name Apis mellifera (honey bee). RNAcentral describes it as "uncharacterized LOC102656449". Lineage: Eukaryota; Metazoa; Arthropoda; Insecta; Hymenoptera; Apidae. The record is from RNAcentral.